RNAcentral lists this ribosomal RNA (253 nucleotides) under uncultured bacterium. RNAcentral's name for it is "partial 16S ribosomal RNA". It matches the Rfam family "Bacterial small subunit ribosomal RNA", at positions 524 to 776 of the family's 1533-position model. The record is from RNAcentral.
GACGAACCGAGCGAACGUUGUUCGGAAUCACUGGGCUUAAAGAGCGCGUAGGCGGGCUGUCAAGUCUGGGGUGAAAUCCCACGGGUCAACCGUGGAACUGCCUCAGAUACUGACGGUCUCGAGGGAGGUAGGGGCGAGCGGAACGGGUGGUGGAGCGGUGAAAUGCGUUGAUAUCACUCGGAACUCCGGUGGCGAAAGCGGCUCGCUGGACCUUUUCUGACGCUGAGGUGCGAAAGCUAGGGGAGCAAACGGG